Molecule: ribosomal RNA, 869 nt
Filed under: uncultured bacterium
Lineage: Bacteria
Description: bacterial SSU rRNA
Rfam family: Bacterial small subunit ribosomal RNA
Source: RNAcentral
AGAGCGAACGCUGGCGGCGUGCUUAACACAUGCAAGUCGAGUGCGCGCCUGUAGCAAUACAGGUGGCGCACGGCGCACGGGUGCGUAACACGUGGGUAAUCUGCCCUUCGAUGGGGAAUAACUCGCCGAAAGGCGAGCUAAUUCCGCAUAACAUUCCCUGAACCUCGGUUUGGGGAUUCAAAGCCGUAAGGCGUCGGAGGAGGAGCCCGCGCCCGAUUAGCUAGUUGGCGAGGUAACGGCUCACCAAGGCAAUGAUCGGUAGCUGGUCUGAGAGGAUGGCCAGCCACACUGGAACUGAGACACGGUCCAGACUCCUACGGGAGGCAGCAGUGGGGAAUCUUGCGCAAUGGGCGAAAGCCUGACGCAGCGACGCCGCGUGGGGGAUGAAGCUUCUCGGAGUGUAAACCCCUUUCGACUGGGACGAAUGCCUCGCAAGAGGAGUGACGGUACCAGUAGAAGAAGCCCCGGCUAACUACGUGCCAGCAGCCGCGGUAAGACGUAGGGGGCCAGCGUUGUUCGGAAUUACUGGGUGUAAAGGGUUCGUAGGCGGUGCGGCAAGUUGGGAGUGAAAUCUCUGGGCUUAACCCAGAGGCUGCUUCCAAAACUGCCGUGCUCGAGUGUGGGAGAGGCGCGUGGAAUUGCAGGUGUAGCGGUGAAAUGCGUAGAUAUCUGCAGGAACACCCGUGGCGAAAGCGGCGCGCUGGACCACAACUGACGCUGAGGAACGAAAGCUAGGGGAGCAAACAGGAUUAGAUACCCUGGUAGUCCUAGCCCUAAACGAUCAGGACUUGGGGUGCCGCCCGUUCGGGCGUCGUCCCGGAGCUAACGCGUUAAGUCCUGCACCUGGGGAGUACGGUCGCAAGACUGAA